GCAGCCAGACCAAUCAAGUCCUUUCAGGUAGACAAGGGAAUGCAAUGUGUAUGAUCUGUAAGUGUUUUUAUUUGUUUGUUUUUGCCGUGAAUCCUUCAGGCAUUCUUGCUGGAGAACCAAUCCUGGGAGAGGGGCUUCUUGACCAAGUGUCUGGUCCAUGCUGAAGGGGUACAGUGAGGAAAAGUGAGCUGAGCACCACAGUGGAACCACAGCAACCAGACCACUCCCUCAGUGGAUGGAUAGAGCCCACGCCACUCGGGACGUAUCACUGCCAUGUCCUCAGGAGGCCAGGAUGCUUUGACAAUGCCCAUUCUGAUUCCUCUGGUGGAUGUUUUGGAAAGGGCUCGCCUACGCGUCUGCUACAGGAAAGCAAGCUCCUUGAGAUGAUCUAUCGCGUGGAGACAUGCAGAUAGAUUGCGUAUCAUCCUCGCUUUGGACAGAAGGGAGUUGAAUUAAAGAUCAUAUAAAUAUAUCAUUAAAAACAAAAAUGGUAUUUGAACAGCACAUUAUGGUUUACAAAGCAAUUCCUCUUGUUACUAUAUCCUAUCUUCACGAAAACGCUUUAUAGAAGGUUGUUAUUGAGUAAAAACAACCCUUUAUGUUUCUUAGCUUGAAAAUAUACUUUUUCAUUAUAUGGAUUUGAUUGUAUUGCUCUAUUGCUUUCCUUGGUAUUUCUAAGUCAUUUAUGUUUCACUCCCUUACUCCUAAAAGCUUCAAUAGAUUUCUAGAAUUGAAUAAAAUUUCUCCUUCAACGCCCUCCAUGCUUAGGCUCAAACUGUUCUUCCCACGUUAGCUUCUCUCCUCACCUCCUUGGAGACAUAUUUCUCUAUCUUUGUCCUCUCUCUUCCUCCCUCCUCCAUCCCUGCCUACCUCAUCUGCUGAGCUCUCUGCUUCUAACAAGGCUCCAUCCUAAACUUUAACCAGCUCUUCGCUUAGGUACCACCUCCUUAAUAAACUGGUUCUUGUUUACACUCA
Molecule: long non-coding RNA, 975 nt
Organism: Equus caballus (horse)
Lineage: Eukaryota; Metazoa; Chordata; Mammalia; Perissodactyla; Equidae
Source: RefSeq, a predicted model, not a curated record